Molecule: ribosomal RNA, 253 nt
Filed under: uncultured bacterium
Lineage: Bacteria
Description: partial 16S ribosomal RNA
Rfam family: Bacterial small subunit ribosomal RNA
Source: RNAcentral
UACAGAGGGUGCGAGCGUUGUCCGGAAUUACUGGGCUUAAAGGGCGCGUAGGCGGGCCGUCCAGUCGGGGGUGAAAUCGCCCGGCCCAACCGGGCAAGGGCCCCCGAUACUGACGGCCUUGAGCGGGGUAGGGGCGGCCGGAACUUCCGGUGGAGCGGUGAAAUGCGUAGAUAUCGGGAGGAACACCAGUGGCGAAGGCGGUUGCCUGGAGCUUUGCUGACGCUGAUGCGCGAAAGCGUGGGGAGCGAUCCGG